UUCACCUGUAGCUAGAACUUCGCUAGAACUAGUUAUGAUGGCCUCUUGUAGUCGUUUUUCUCGACUGCAUGCCCUUAGGUGCUUAGCAUUGUAAUCCCCUCCUGCUAUACACUUGGGGCCCAAUGUGAUCAGUAGCUGAUCAAAAUCGUUUUUAGUCCAACUUAUUUGGACGAAGAUACAGAGAAGCUAUUUUGAUAAUACCACCACUCGUUGGUACAUCGAGACUGGUGACUUGUAAAUCAGUGCGCAUUGUUGAUUUAUUUUGAUUGUGGCGAAUAUUGGCUUUGAUGAAGAUUGCAGAACCGUCUUUUGCGGUGUUACUUGGAUGAUUGGCAUAAUAUUGUUCAUAGCCAGGAGUGUAUACUUUUAGUCCAGGGCGCAUAUGAGUUUCAGUAAUAAGCAUGAUGUCUAUGUGAGCAAUAAGAAAAAGUCGAAGUUCUUUAUUCUUCUGUACUAAUCCUCUUGCGUUUCAUAAUCCGAUUUUUAAGUUUAAGACUAUCAUUUUGUAGAAAUCAGAACGUGGACUAGAUCACGAAAAGCUUUGUUGGACUCAAUUGUUUCCAUGACUAAUUUAAAAAUUUGAUCUAAUCUGGUUAAUGUCCAAGAUUGCCUUCUCGAGAAUGGCAAGGUUCCUGUUAGAGUUGUAUUGCUCCCCAGUAUUUAGAGUGAUUGUGUUCUUAGCAGGAACGCUGUAGUUGUUUUCAGCUUUAGUUCUUGUUAUGUCAGCAUAGGAGUCUCCAUUUCUGACAGCUGACGACGACGCGUAUUGUACAUGGCGGAUUUCAUUAUUUCUGUUAAUGGUGUAGUUGGGUGGUCUAGGCCCUGGCUUUAAUUUUUUACUCAAUUCUAUUCUGACUUUGCAGCCUUCAAAACUGGCAGGGUGAUUCUCCAUGCAGUUUGCACAUACUUAAUGAUUGUUUAGGUGUGUCUCACAUGAUUUAGAACCGGUAGGAUGCUCACCCACACAAUUCCCGCAAACUGGGCUUAAAUGACAGCGAUUCCGGGUGUGGCCAAAAUUUUGUCAAUUGCAACAUUGAGCUAUGUCCUUGUUGCGAGUAUCCUUCUCCACUGUAACCCUGUGCCUUCCAAUACGGCUUACUUUUAGAGACUCGGCCACAUUCGGAGUCGGCUUAAGAUUUACAAAGAACAGAUUUUGUCUAGUUUGUGCGAUAAUGGCUUCUUCGUCGUCAUUUCCACCAGCCAAGAUUUUAUUCCAGCCAGGCUUCCCUGCGGAGUAGAUGUUCAGUACAACGAAGCCUUUGUCUGUGAAGCAGCGUUCUAUUUCUUCUCUUGGAACAGUUGAGUGUAUGUUCUUCAGCACCAGCCUAUAUGGUUUUUCCCACGGAGUUGAUGAUGCCAAAACUGGCAAUUCAGGGCAGUCAAGUUACGAACCACACUUCUGAAUGAUGUUGCAUCUGCUGUGUAGAUUCGAGAGAUUCCUGAUCUGGAGCAUUUUUAAAGUUCUAAAGACGACUCGAGGAACUUCUUUCACCGUGCGAUAACGUAAUGAAUUAUAUCGACGACUUAAUAAUUUUUGGAAACAGCGAACAGGAACAUGAUGCUGCUGUCGAAAAAGUUCGUAAUGUGUUUAAAGAAUAUAAUAAUACUCUUAAACGAUGAAAAAUGUGUUUGGAAGACAAUCAAAACUAAAUUUUUGGGACACAUCUUAACAAAUAAAGGCUGAUCCUGAAAAAAUAGCUGCUAUCGGCUCCUUUCGAGCACCCAAAAAUAAAGAGGAGACGCGGAGUUUCCUACCUACGUGGGAAAAUAUAUUCCAGACCUGGCCGAUUUGACGGAACCACUGCGUGAGUGGUUAAAGAAGUGUGAGAAAUUUAUCUGGGGACCAGUUCAAGAUCAGGGGUUUCAAAAACUUAUGUCAGCGUUAGCUAAAAUCCCAAGUCUUUCUUAUAUUGACCCCAAUAGUAAAACUAGAUUCAUAGCAGAUCCAACCCCUUAACUUUGGGGGCAGUAUUAUUACAACCCAAAAAUAAUUGAAUUUUCUAGUCGAGGCUCAACCGAGGUGGAGAAACUAUACUCCCAAACUGAGAAAGAAAGCUUGGCAUUGGCUUGGGCAGUAGAGAGAUUUUAUUUUUACUUACUGGGAUUGGAGUUUGAAUUAGUGACCGACCAUAAGCCCCUAGAGACAAAUUUAAACCAACAUCAAAACCGCCAGCACGGAUUGAAAGAUGGCUAUUGCGCCUCCAGGCUUAUAAAUUUAAAGUUAUAUACAAAUCCGGGAAAGAAAAUAUUGCUGACAGUUUAUCACGGCUGUGUGAACAGACACCAUCAGAGUGUUACGAUAUUACGGGACAGCAUACUCUUAAUAAUUAACAACGCUGGGUACCGCACUCAUGGCGAAGAAAUCGUUGACGCAAUGAUGUGCCUCUAACAGGGUUCUUGGAACUCUGCACUAUCAAGUAAACUGUACCCAUUCCGACAUGAACUGUCAGUGGUGGGAACAAUUAUGUUGAGGGGAGUUCGCAUUUUUAUUCCAUCUAACCAUAUGCAGAAAGUGUUGACGUUGGCAAACGAAGGCCAUCCAGGCGAAUCGGCAAAAAAGAACCAAAGUGUUGUGGCCACAUAUGCCGCCGAUGAAGAAAACUGAAUUUCCGAACGGUCCUUGGCUUGCAGUGGCAACAGACUUGCUGGGCCCAUUGCCAAAUAACGAAUACAUCUAAGUCAUAAUCGGUUAUUAUUCAAGAUAUAUGGAACUCAAGUUUUUGCGAUCUAUUACGUCAGCGUCACUUAUUGACACGUGUAGACGCGUGUUCUUUAGACUUGGGUACCCAAAACAGCUGCGGACUGAUACCGGUCGACAGUACGUAAAAACAAACAAACGUCUGAAAAUAGCGCAUCUGCACAAAAGGAAUCUUAAGGAUGAAAUUCGAUCGUUCACGUUCAUUUAUAAUGUCACUCCUCAUGGAACGACAGGCACAGCUUCAACUAAUGAGUUAAUGUUUAAUCGAGUCAUUCGAGAUAAGAUCCCAGGCAUACAAGAUUUGGUAGGCAAAUUUAUUGAGAGACUGUAUAUUUAAGAAAAAGGGAAAGGAAAUUGCAGACAACCAAAGUUGAGCAAGAGAAGCAGAUAUCAGCGUAGGAGACAAAGUGGUCCUUAAAAAUGUAGUUUUUCCCCACAAGCUUACUCCGAACUUCGACACUACUGACUACGAAGUGGUGGAGACGAAAGGAAAUAUAGUGAAAGUUGUAGGGCAGGGCCGAACCCUUAUGAGGAAUGUAAGUCAUCUUAAAAAGCUUCCCCAUCGGAGUACACAGUCCGAGGCGCCUAACAUUGACCCCUUACCUAUGCUUAAUGCGGGUCAGACUCUGGAUCCUGAAGCACGACCAAGCUUGCCGACCCCGGAAGAGAACGAGCCACACAACAUGGAUACCCUGAAGCUGAAGCUGGUGGGAAAGGAAGGGAUGUGCGAGCCAGCACCAUGAUGCUGAGCGAAGAUCGACGGCCAACACUCUCUCUCUCGCGCUCGCGCUUUCGCUCUAUGACGGUACUCUAUUGAUAUUCAUAAUAACUCUUUACUUUAGUUUAGUUUUGACUCUGGCGAAGUAAGCUAGCAUACUAAAGUUAAAUUAAAAAAAGAAGUUGAUAAUCCGAAAA
Drosophila mauritiana is the source of this 3613-nucleotide long non-coding RNA. RefSeq lists it as uncharacterized. The transcript is spliced from 2 exons. The record is from RefSeq and is a predicted model, not a curated record. Lineage: Eukaryota; Metazoa; Arthropoda; Insecta; Diptera; Drosophilidae.